Molecule: ribosomal RNA, 398 nt
Filed under: uncultured bacterium
Lineage: Bacteria
Description: partial 16S ribosomal RNA
Rfam family: Bacterial small subunit ribosomal RNA
Source: RNAcentral
AUACGUAGGGUGCGAGCGUUGUCCGGAAUUACUGGGCGUAAAGAGCUCGUAGGUGGUUUGUCGCGUCGUCUGUGAAAUUCCGGGGCUUAACUCCGGGCGUGCAGGCGAUACGGGCAUAACUUGAGUACUGUAGGGGAGACUGGAAUUCCUGGUGUAGCGGUGAAAUGCGCAGAUAUCAGGAGGAACACCGGUGGCGAAGGGGGGUCGUUGUGCAGUAACUGACGCUGGGGAGCGAAGGCAUGGGUAGCGAACAGGAUUAGAUACCCUGGUAGCCCAUGCCGUAAACGGUGGGCGCUAGGUGUAGGGGUCUUCCACGACUUCUGUGCCGUAGCUAACGCAUUAAGCGCCCCGCCUGGGGAGUACGGCCGCAAGGCUAAAACUCAAAGGAAUUGACGGGG